Molecule: ribosomal RNA, 253 nt
Filed under: uncultured bacterium
Lineage: Bacteria
Description: partial 16S ribosomal RNA
Rfam family: Bacterial small subunit ribosomal RNA
Source: RNAcentral
UACGUAGGUGGCAAGCGUUGUUCGGAAUAACUGGGCGUAAAGGAUGCGUAGGCGGUUAAACAAGUUAUAUGUUAAAUAUAUAGGCUUAACCUGUAAAAAGCAUAUAAAACUGUUUAACUAGAGUGCAGGAGAGGUAAGUGGAAUUCCUAGUGUAGCGGUGAAAUGCGUAGAGAUUAGGAAGAACACCAGUGGCGAAGGCGACUUACUGGACUGUAACUGACGCUGAGGCAUGAGAGCAUGGGGAGCAAACAGG